CAGUCGAACGAGGUUCAGUUGAUAGCAAUAUCAGCGAAGAUCUAGUGGCGAACGGGUGCGUAACACGUGAGGAACUUGUCCCGGUCUCUGGGAUAACAGUUGGAAACGACUGCUAAUACCGGAUGACGUCGGAGCGUCGCAUGGCGCGCUGACGAAAGGGUUACUGGAUCGGGAGAGCCUCGCGGCCUAUCAGCUUGUUGGUGGGGUAACGGCCUACCAAGGCAUCGACGGGUAGCUGGUCUGAGAGGAUGAUCAGCCACACUGGGACUGAGACACGGCCCAGACUCCUACGGGAGGCAGCAGUGGGGAAUCUUGCGCAAUGGGCGAAAGCCUGACGCAGCAACGCCGCGUGCGGGAAGAAGGCUCUCGGGUUGUAAACCGCUUUCAGAAGGAACGAAACUGACGGUACUUUCAGAAGAAGGUGCGGCCAACUACGUGCCAGCAGCCGCG
RNAcentral lists this ribosomal RNA (450 nucleotides) under uncultured soil bacterium. RNAcentral's name for it is "bacterial SSU rRNA". It matches the Rfam family "Bacterial small subunit ribosomal RNA", at positions 59 to 519 of the family's 1533-position model. The record is from RNAcentral.